GAAAUGCGAUAAGUAAUGUGAAUUGCAGAAUUCAGUGAAUCAUCGAAUCUUUGAACGCACCUUGCGCUCCUUGGUAUUCCUUGGAGCAUGCCUGUUUGAGUAUCAUGAAAUCUUCAAAGUAAAUCUUUUGUUAACUCAAUUGGUUUCUACUUUGGUAUUGGAGGUCUUUGCAGCUUCACACCUGCUCCUCUUUGUUCAUUAGCUGGAUCUCAGUGUUAUGCUUGGUUCCACUCGGCGUGAUAAGUUAUCUAUCGCUGAGGACACUGUAAAAGGUGGCCAAGGUAAAUGCAGAUGAACCGCUUCUAAUAGUCCAUUGACUUGGACAAUACUUUUAUGAUCUGAUCUCAAAUCAGGUAGGACUCCCCGCUGAAGUUACGC
This 378-nucleotide unclassified non-coding RNA is filed under the name plant metagenome. Its description in RNAcentral is "partial contains 5.8S ribosomal RNA, internal transcribed spacer 2, and large subunit ribosomal RNA". The stretch from base 1 to 105 matches the Rfam family "5.8S ribosomal RNA", at positions 50 to 154 of the family's 154-position model. The record is from RNAcentral.